UCGAAAAAUGGAGAAGUUUCCAGAACUACUGCUUUUGACAAAUGGCAGAAACUUCUUACAAACUUCAGAAAGAAAAGCAGACACAUCCACUCUCUCUGGAACUUUCUUUUCCACCGCCUUAUAUUCUCACUCUGCUCUCUCUUCCACCUGACACCCAACAAUCAUUGUAAUCUCAGAACAUCCCCAAAAACAUUCUCAGUUCCUUUUCCUACGAAAACUGAACCUUAGGACAGAGCUCCGAAAUAAACUGAAUACUCCAUAGAGAAAAACAACGGUACAGUUCACAACAUCGGUAUUUUUAUUGCAAAACCCAAGUGACAAGCAAGACACAAGCUAUGGAAGGAGUGGUAAUUAAAGAAGAGGAAACGGUGACGUUUGCAGCUGGAACUGCAGGGUUGUCUUCAUCUUCAUCAUCAUCAUCAUCAUCUUCUUCUUCUUCUCCGUCUUCGUCUUCGAAAGUUACUCCACAGCCCAUGGAAGGGCUUAACGAAGUUGGUCCACCGCCGUUCUUGACCAAGACUUUCGAAAUGGUGGAAGACCCUUCGACGGACUCGGUGGUUUCAUGGAGUAAAGCUCGUAAUAGCUUCAUUGUUUGGGAUUCUCAUAAGUUCUCGACUACUCUGCUUCCUAGGUAUUUCAAGCACAGUAAUUUCUCCAGCUUCAUUCGCCAGCUCAAUACAUAUGGUUUUAGAAAAGUUGAUCCUGAUCGUUGGGAAUUUGCCAAUGAAGGGUUUCUGGGAGGGCAAAAGCAUCUGUUGAAAACGAUCAAGAGGAGAAGAAAUAUCCUGCAAAGUUCGCAACAGCAGGGAGAAGGAGCUUGCGUUGAGUUAGGGCAAUUUGGACUAGAAGGUAAACUUGAGAGGUUGAGGAGAGAUCGAACUGUGUUACUAGCAGAAAUCGUGAGACUAAGGCAGCAACAGCAGCAUUCGAGAGACCAAAUUGUUGCAAUGGAGGAUCGGUUACAAAGCACGGAGAGGAAGCAGCAGCAGAUAAUGACAUUCCUUGCCAAGGCUCUUCGUAACCCAACCUUUUUUCAGCAAUUUGCUCAAAAAAAACAAAUGCAAGGUGUCGAAAUUGGGAGAAAAAGGAGACUAACAGCUAAUCCGAGCAUAGAGAAUUUGCAAGAAGAAGCAAUUCCAGUGGUAGUUGAUACCGAGCAAGUUCUCAAUUACGCCAAUCAAGAGCAAGAAGAAUUGGCAACCAUAGAGUCUGAGAUAGAGACAUUUUUCACUUCUGCGUUGGACAAUGAAUCAAGCAGUGAAAUCAAGUAUCCGAUAACAAGUUCGGAGCCCACAUCUGGUGGAGCUAAUUUAGGUUCUGUUAAUGACACGAUAUGGGAGGAGUUCAUAAGUGAUGACCUAAUAGCUGUUGAACAGGAGGAGGAAAUUGUGGUCGGUGAUCAGGCUGAAGUUGAUGUUGAGGUGGAGGAUUUGGGUGUAAACCCUGAAGAUUGGGGUGAUGACUUGCAGGACCUUGUGGAUCAGAUGGGUUAUCUCAGGUCAAAUCCAUGACCAAACACAUUAAUGGAUUGUAUGAUGUUAUUGUUGUAGGCUUGAGUUGGUCUCUGCGACACCAUUCCUGGUUUUCUUGAGCUGCAGGGAGUGGUGGAAGUUGCUAAGGGGCCAACAGAUGUUCCUGUUAUUCUGUAUCCUUUAUUGAUAAUCUAGUCCUUGAUUUCCUUUGGUACUUUAUAAUGCGCUUUGGAAUUUGAUUUAUUAGUUACAUGAUACUUACUUCUUGCAGUGAAAUUUUGCAGGCGACAGAAAUUUAUGGGGAACCUCUUCAAUCCAUGAGUCUGUCAUGAGCUUCUAGUUCCAGAAUUUUGGCUCUAUUACCUAUACAAGUAUGCUCUUUAGGUUCCUGUAAAUUAUCAUUAGUGUUUGUUUAUGCAAAUUAUCAGUUUUAAACUUUCAAUCCAUACGUAUAUAAAGGGUUGCAUGCUUGAUAUCCACUUAUAUUCAUCAUUUUUCUAGACUAGAUAGACCAUCUUAGGUCAUUACCGAAAGGAUUAAAUUCUUUGUAAGUGGUCUGAUCAAGUGGCAAAACUCAAACCAAAUAAGAUCUUCCAUGAUCAGUGUAGAGUAACUAAAAUAUUUCACAAGUGUGUUUUCCUUGUAUAAAAAUUGACAAAGUAUCAAUCAUACCAAAAUGGAUCCUUCACAUUCAGAGAUUAAAGAAGGAAACCAACGCAUGGGAGGUUAAACACCUUUAUGAAGAGAAAAAUCAAAUGGCUGAUAACCUUGCUAGGGCUGGGAUUAACCGACAAGUGGAGCUCCUUCACAUUUUUGAUUAAGCUGCUGGGGAGGUAUAGAUCGGGAUGGAGGAACUGGCAGGGGAAGUGGAAUCUCACUUACUGCUUGCUGUGAGUUUGUCUGUGUUUUAUCCCCUGUUCUUUCUCUGUUGAUUGUUGGACUUGAUUUUGAUGCUUCAGGUAUUUCAGCUCUGUUGAAAACUUGAAUUGGGGUGGUUUGUGUAGUAAGGGGUGGGUACACUGUUGUAUGUAUGAGGGAGGGGAUUUGUUUUUUGUUUUUGGUGACUGAUGGGUUAUUUUGUUUUACGAGAGAUUUUGAUCUUGUACAGAGAAUGUCGAGGUUUUUAGGCCGUUAUGCUGGGGAGAUGCACAACGCCCUUAAAUCCUCCUUUUGUUCUUAGCAAGGAAGCUUUACUCCCUGGUUGAAUGAAACUUGUUACUUUUCAAAAAAAAAAAAAAAAA
This is an RNA transcript of Theobroma cacao (cacao), 2713 nucleotides long. It is a transcript of the gene named heat shock transcription factor A2, with no coding region annotated. The record is from RefSeq and is a predicted model, not a curated record. NCBI's taxonomy places the organism in Eukaryota, Viridiplantae, Streptophyta, Magnoliopsida, Malvales, Malvaceae.